CAAGAGCCUUCAGUGUUGGAGGUUUUAUCCAUGUCUUAACAUGUAAUUCCUGUAACAGUGUACCAGCAGGGAAUCUGCUGUCCCAUUUUACAGGGAAAAAACAGAGGCUCAGAAAAAAGAACUCAUUUGCCCGAAGCCUCCCACUGGCAAGGGGCAGAGCCCAGGAUCCCACAGGGCUGAAUCUAACCUGUUGAUUCUCACCUCAGCAUUCACAUUCCAUCCCAUUUUUCCUUUCUGUGCCUUGCCCUCUCAUGCCUGGGUUCUCCUAUAUCCCUCAGACUGGGUUCUAGGGUGAAAACUGAAGCAGCGAGAUUUCUAACAGCCCAGCUCCCAGCGGGCUCUGUGGGAGAAAGUCAGCAGAGGAAAGCAUUCCCCAGUGUGUGUAUGUUUGGGGGUGGGGGCAUAAGUGCAGCCCCUGUUCUGGGGGCUCCUCCCUCGCCAGGCACUGGAGCAGUCAGGGACUGGAAGGGACCAGGCUGCUUCAUGCAGGGUAGGGGUGGGGCAUCUCCAAGCUGGCAAAGCGCAGAUGACCUUGGCCAUGGGUCACAACCAGUCCCUUCUCCCCCUCGGGAAGGCAACGCUGGGAUGUUAUGGGUCCAGUACACUCCCCCAACUGUCCUGGGGCAUACACCCGACAGAGGUGUGUGGAGGAGGUUGGGUGGGAGAGGGGAUUCAGGCUGGUCAGGGCAGGUUCGGAGGCGGGCCUGGUUCGGAGAAACAACCACCCGUCAGCCAGGCUUGGGGAGGGGAAGGCCAGAGGAGAGGAAGGAGGAGUCUGGAGAAGGGAGAGAAAGACAUAGAAAAACAGACAAGGAGAGAGGGCAGGAGUUGGGGACACAGGUACCGGGGGCGAGUAGAGACACAGAGACGAGAGAAAAGACAACAAAGACAAAGCCAGAGAUGCACAGCCUGAGAGAGAGCCACACGGAGAGAACGGAGAGGGGAGCAGGGUCAGAGGGCCCUGACGACGCAGAGGAGGACGCGAGAGGACACAAGAGGGACUUUCCCCAGGGGCAGGGAGAGGCCUUGGGCAGCUCCUCCGCUGGGCCGGGCUGCCUGCCUGCUGGACUCCGGAAAGGAGGCAGUGACCGCACCCAUCUGGAAGCUGUCAGGUCCCUCAAGGAUGAGGGCGUUGGGAGGAAGCCAGACAUGAGCCACGUCGAUCUUUUUAUUGAAGCAUAA
RNAcentral lists this long non-coding RNA (1182 nucleotides) under Papio anubis (olive baboon). Its description in RNAcentral is "lncRNA (ENSPANG00000037453.1)". Lineage: Eukaryota; Metazoa; Chordata; Mammalia; Primates; Cercopithecidae. The record is from RNAcentral.